AUUGAACGCUGGCGGCAGGCCUAACACAUGCAAGUCGAACGGUAACAGGAAACAGCUUGCUGUUUCGCUGACGAGUGGCGGACGGGUGAGUAAUGUCUGGGAAACUGCCUGAUGGAGGGGGAUAACUACUGGAAACGGUAGCUAAUACCGCAUAACGUCGCAAGACCAAAGAGGGGGACCUUCGGGCCUCUUGCCAUCGGAUGUGCCCAGAUGGGAUUAGCUAGUAGGUGGGGUAACGGCUCACCUAGGCGACGAUCCCUAGCUGGUCUGAGAGGAUGACCAGCCACACUGGAACUGAGACACGGUCCAGACUCCUACGGGAGGCAGCAGUGGGGAAUAUUGCACAAUGGGCGCAAGCCUGAUGCAGCCAUGCCGCGUGUAUGAUGAAGGCCUUCGGGUUGUAAAGUACUUUCAGCGGGGAUGAAGGGAGUAAAGUUAAUACCUUUGCUCAUUGACGUUACCCGCAGAAGAAGCACCGGCUAACUCCGUG
RNAcentral lists this ribosomal RNA (490 nucleotides) under uncultured bacterium. RNAcentral describes it as "partial 16S ribosomal RNA". It matches the Rfam family "Bacterial small subunit ribosomal RNA", at positions 30 to 507 of the family's 1533-position model. The record is from RNAcentral.